GCUUAACCGGAGAAGUGCAUCGGAAACUGGAUAACUUGAGUGCAGAAGAGGGUAGUGGAACUCCAUGUGUAGCGGUGGAAUGCGUAGAUAUAUGGAAGAACACCAGUGGCGAAGGCGGCUACCUGGUCUGCAACUGACGCUGAGACUCGAAAGCAUGGGUAGCGAACAGGAUUAGAUACCCUGGUAGUCCAUGCCGUAAACGAUGAGUGCUAGGUGUUGGAGGGUUUCCGCCCUUCAGUGCCGGAGCUAACGCAUUAAGCACUCCGCCUGGGGAGUACGACCGCAAGGUUGAAACUCAAAGGAAUUGACGGGGGCCCGCACAAGCGGUGGAGCAUGUGGUUUAAUUCGAAGCUACGCGAAGAACCUUACCAGGUCUUGACAUCUUGCGUCAACCCUAGAGAUAGGGCGUUUCCUUCGGGAAUGCAAUGACAGGUGGUGCAUGGUCGUCGUCAGCUCGUGUCGUGAGAUGUUGGGUUAAGUCCCGCAACGAGCGCAACCCUUGUUACUAGUUGCCAGCAUUAAGUUGGGCACUCUAGUGAGACUGCCGGUGACAAACCGGAGGAAGGUGGGGACGACGUCAGAUCAUCAUGCCCCUUAUGACCUGGGCUACACACGUGCUACAAUGGACGGUACAACG
This 637-nucleotide ribosomal RNA is filed under the name uncultured bacterium. Its description in RNAcentral is "bacterial SSU rRNA". It matches the Rfam family "Bacterial small subunit ribosomal RNA", at positions 607 to 1244 of the family's 1533-position model. The record is from RNAcentral.